AACAAAGAAGUAAAAAAUUACAAUUAGUUUCGACCUAAUUUUUGGAUUUUAUCCCUUGUUU
Molecule: transfer RNA, 61 nt
Filed under: Japananus hyalinus
Lineage: Eukaryota; Metazoa; Arthropoda; Insecta; Hemiptera; Cicadellidae
Description: tRNA-Arg
Source: RNAcentral